RNAcentral lists this ribosomal RNA (400 nucleotides) under uncultured Geobacteraceae bacterium. RNAcentral's name for it is "bacterial SSU rRNA". It matches the Rfam family "Bacterial small subunit ribosomal RNA", at positions 1 to 391 of the family's 1533-position model. Lineage: Bacteria; Pseudomonadati; Thermodesulfobacteriota; Desulfuromonadia; Geobacterales; Geobacteraceae. The record is from RNAcentral.
CCUUAGAGUUUGAUCCUGGCUCAGAACGAACGCUGGCGGCGUGCUUAACACAUGCAAGUCGAACGUGAUUGAGAGCUUGCUCUCAUGAAAGUGGCGCACGGGUGAGUAACACGUGGAUAAUCUGCCUGGCGAUUCGGGAUAACACUUCGAAAGAGGUGCUAAUACCGGAUAAGCCCACGGAGUCKUUGGACUCUGCGGGAAAAGGGGGGGACCUUCGGGCCUUCUGUCAUCAGAUGAGUCUGCGUACCAUUAGCUAGUUGGUAGGGUAAUGGCCUACCAAGGCUACRAUGGCUAGCUGGUCUGAGAGGAUGAUCAGCCACMCUGGAACUGAGACACGGUCCAGACUCCUACGGGAGGCAGCAGUGGGGAAUUUUGCGCAAUGGGCGAAAGCCUGACGCAG